UUAAUUGAAGCCAAAAUUGAGGCAAUUUAUUGUUAAUAAAUCUAUUGAAAUUAUUUUCCAAUUAAU
This 66-nucleotide transfer RNA is filed under the name Xylocopa appendiculata. Its description in RNAcentral is "tRNA-Asn". The record is from RNAcentral. Lineage: Eukaryota; Metazoa; Arthropoda; Insecta; Hymenoptera; Apidae.